RNAcentral lists this ribosomal RNA (876 nucleotides) under Talaromyces trachyspermus. RNAcentral's name for it is "LSU rRNA". It matches the Rfam family "Eukaryotic large subunit ribosomal RNA", at positions 74 to 965 of the family's 3401-position model. The record is from RNAcentral. Lineage: Eukaryota; Fungi; Ascomycota; Eurotiomycetes; Eurotiales; Trichocomaceae.
AUUGCCUCAGUAACGGCGAGUGAAGCGGCAAGAGCUCAAAUUUGAAAUCUGGCCCCCCCGGGGUCCGAGUUGUAAUUUGGAGAGGAUGCUUCGGGCGCCGUUCCCGUCUAAGUGCCCCUGGAACGGGCUGUCGCAGAGGGUGAGAACCCCGUCUGGGACGGGCGACGGCGCCCGUGUGAAGCUCCUUCGACGAGUCGAGUUGUUUGGGAAUGCAGCUCUAAGCGGGUGGUAAAUUUCAUCUAAAGCUAAAUACUGGCCGGAGACCGAUAGCGCACAAGUAGAGUGAUCGAAAGAUGAAAAGCACUUUGAAAAGAGAGUCAAACAGCACGUGAAAUUGUUGAAAGGGAAGCGUUGGCCCCCAGACGCGCCCGGGAGGGCUCAGCCGGCACGUGUGCCGGUGUACUCUCUCCCGGGCGGGCCAGCAUCGGUUUGGGCGGUCGCUGAAAGGCCCCGGGAAUGUAGCACCCUCCGGGGUGCCUUAUAGCCCGGGGCGGCAUGCGGCCCGCCGGGACCGAGGCCCGCGCUUCGGCGAGGAUGCUGGCGUAAUGGCGGUCAACGGCCCGUCUUGAAACACGGACCAAGGAGUCUAACAUCUAUGCGAGUGUUCGGGUGUCAAACCCGUCCGCGCAGUGAAAGCGAACGCCGGUGGGAACCCCUCUGGGGCGCACCAUCGACCGAUCCUGAUGUCCUCGGAUGGAUUUGAGUAAGAGCAUAGCUGUUGGGACCCGAAAGAUGGUGAACUAUGCCUGAAUAGGGCGAAGCCAGAGGAAACUCUGGUGGAGGCUCGCAGCGGUUCUGACGUGCAAAUCGAUCGUCAAAUUUGGGUAUAGGGGGCGAAAGACUAAUCGAACCAUCUGGUAGCUGGUUCCUGCCGAA